AAGAUUCUGACCUCACGGUCGAACCUCAUCAGCUGUGCGCUCUGGCUGCACGCUGUUGAACCUCCCACACCUGUGCACUAUUCGGUUGUAGCCUACUUAAGUGGGCCGCUUCCGCCUUUACAUUACACUACAGUCAUGAAUGUCACAACUAUAAAAGUAA
RNAcentral lists this unclassified non-coding RNA (160 nucleotides) under uncultured Basidiomycota. Its description in RNAcentral is "sequence contains ITS1". The record is from RNAcentral. Lineage: Eukaryota; Fungi; Basidiomycota.